GAGGCCGGGCUGCGGAGGGCGGGCUUGGGGACCCGGCGGGCGGGGCGAGGUCGCUCCGUGCCGCCCACGCCGGAUGCACAGCCGGCCCUCUCCGUGCCCACGUACCCACGUGAGCGCCCAGCCGGCGACAUUCCUACUCCCCCCCACCCCCACCCCCCGGCUCCUACCCCUCCGAGCGGAGAGCGGAGUUUCGCAACCACGCACCGGUACACAAAAACACGGACAAGCGCACAAACGUGCACACGCGCCUCAACAACUACACGGACGCCCGCUGCCCACACUCCGGCCUCGCAGUACUGUACGUGUGACUGCUAGGAAUGAGCCGGGAAAAGUUGGCGGAGCCUCGGGGUGCGCGGCUCCUUUUGGGCGUGCAUCCGACUCCCCUUGAGUGUGCGCUUAGGGCAGGUUUGUAUGUGAGCCCCUAUGUGUGGAUUUAAAAAUACAUACAUUUAAGAAAUCAUUGACUUGUGAAGCCCCGCAAGAGGCCCAGAGCGCCCCCGCAGCCGGAGCUGCUGAGAUGUCUGUUCUUCGCUUCCCUCCCACUCCUACCACCCCCAACUCCCCUCCUACUCCCUUCCGUUGAGAACUAGGAAUUUCCAGCCUUUUGCAAUUGGAGAGAGACAAAGAGACGGAGACUAUGAGAAGCUAUAGAAAAACAAAGACAAAAGACAGGUGGGGGGGAGGGAUGAUAAAAAAAAAGGUGUAGCACAAAUACAAAAAUCUUAUUUCUUC
Molecule: long non-coding RNA, 732 nt
Organism: Mirounga angustirostris (Northern elephant seal)
Lineage: Eukaryota; Metazoa; Chordata; Mammalia; Carnivora; Phocidae
Exons: 2
Source: RefSeq, a predicted model, not a curated record